This is a long non-coding RNA of Limulus polyphemus (Atlantic horseshoe crab), 1532 nucleotides long. RefSeq lists it as uncharacterized. The transcript has 3 exons. NCBI's taxonomy places the organism in Eukaryota, Metazoa, Arthropoda, Merostomata, Xiphosura, Limulidae. The record is from RefSeq and is a predicted model, not a curated record.
CUCGUCAUACGUUCUCCGUUGGUAUCGAAACCGGUUUCUAGCGUUUUAUGCCCGCAGACACGCCGCUGUGCCGAUUAAAACUAGGAGAAAUGUCAAAAGUAAGAUUAGAUUAAAUUUAAUGUACAGUUUUAAGUUUCUGAUGUUGUUUAUAAAGCGGUAUUUUUAAUUGCUUCUUUCUCACGCUAGUAUUUGACGGAAGGAAGAGGUGAAAGCAUCAAACCUGAUCUUCCCACCAUCCCGAUAAAGAAAGAGUUUGACGCAGAAUGAAAAUUAAAAAUUAUGAAAUAUAAUAUAAAAAAUAUGUAUGUAUAUGCCAUUUUUGUAAGUUGUAGUAUUACUAAUUACUGAUACUAUUACUACUAGUGCUUCUACAAAUUGCAAGGCAUCACUGAUAACAAUGGUAUCGCUAAAGUGAGGCCCCCUAGUGGCAUGUCUGCGGACUUACAACUCUAGAAACCGGGUUUCGAUACCCGUGGGGGCAGAGCACAGAUAACCCAUUAUGUAGCUUUGUGCUUAACUUCAAACAAACACGCUAAAAAAAGCUUAAGGUGUAUCCAUGGGCAGCCAGUAAAUGCAAAUGGAACUGGUGAUGAUUUUUCCUGGAGGCAUUCAUUGGAAGUUUGUACCUGCUUGGAUUUUAAGAAUCUUUGGGAAAGUUACCUUCAACAUGUAAGAACUGAAAUGGGUGCUGUUUGAUACCUUGAGAGGCAACAACUCUGGAUAGGUGAAACCCAUGUGAGGGAUUGAACCUCAGAUCUUGUAUGGAAAGAAGUUUACUUUAUACACACAUGCAGUCUUUUGUUCAAUUGUUUAUCUUGUCUUUUAGGAAGUUUUCUGCCAUUAAGUUUCCUAAAACACUGAAGAAAUUGAGCUACUGUUUAAUUUUUGAAAAUGAUGGAUGUAAUAAUGAAAGUUUUAAACAAGUCUUUCUCAAUGUUUAUAACAGAGAUUGAGUUUUAUAAUUACUUAUAGGUUAAUCUAAUCGUUCACAUUAAGCCUAUAAAAUAAGCAACAUAUUUUGGUAAAACUUUCUGUUUAGUUAAAAAAAAAAAGAUUCUAGCUUCAAAUAUUUUUAUCAAACCUAAAUGAAUAGAUUUCCCCUCAAAUUUGAUGACAAGAAAUCCACAUUUUGCAGCUGGCUUGAACGAGUAGUGAAAGAAAAUAUAUUACAAAUGUACAACAUUUCAACCAGCUUAUUUAACUGACGAUAAGUAGUAUUUCCUCAGUAAUUUAGUUUCUGACACUGAUAAAUCUGAAAAUCAUAACAUUUUGUACCUAGUAGCACACAACAACUACUGUUGGCUAAUUUUUAAUAAAGUAAUUUGUGUAAGUAAUGUUUCCUAGCAUUAAUUCUUGCAUGUGAAAUUUUUUUACACGACAGAGCGGCAUGUGGUCUCACUUGGGUUAUAUUAAUAUAACCCAAGUGAGACCACAUGCCACUCUGUCAUGUAAAAAAAUUUCACAUGCAUUAAAUAAUAUAACCCAAGUGAGACAACAUGCCACUCUGUCAUGUACAAAAAUUUCACAUGCAU